CCUACGGGGGGCUGCAGUGGGGAAUAUUGGACAAUGGGCGAAAGCCUGAUCCAGCCAUGCCGCGUGUGUGAAGAAGGCCUUCGGGUUGUAAAGCACUUUCAGUGGGGAAGAAAGCCUUGGGGCUAAUACCCUCGAGGAAGGACAUCACCCACAGAAGAAGCACCGGCUAACUCCGUGCCAGCAGCCGCGGUAAUACGGAGGGUGCGAGCGUUAAUCGGAAUUACUGGGCGUAAAGCGCGCGUAGGCGGUCUGAUAAGCCGGUUGUAAAAGCCCCGGGCUCAACCUGGGAACGGCAUCCGGAACUGUCAGGCUAGAGUGCAGGAGAGGAAGGUAGAAUUCCCGGUGUAGCGGUGAAAUGCGUAGAGAUCGGGAGGAAUACCAGUGGCGAAGGCGGCCUUCUGGACUGACACUGACGCUGAGGUGCGAAAGCGUGGGUAGCAAACAGGAUUAGAUACCCUAGUAGUC
Molecule: ribosomal RNA, 465 nt
Filed under: Vreelandella stevensii
Lineage: Bacteria; Pseudomonadati; Pseudomonadota; Gammaproteobacteria; Oceanospirillales; Halomonadaceae
Description: partial 16S ribosomal RNA
Rfam family: Bacterial small subunit ribosomal RNA
Source: RNAcentral